GCAGAGAAGGGAAGAACCAGAAGACAGGUUCUGGUGGCAUAUGCAGUCAGUGAGGAGGAGUGAGAGGAUCUGAGAACUUCAGCCCUGAGAUAAAGGGUUCGUCCAUUUGACUGUGAUACUUGACUAGAGGGUUGAGCUGCUGAAGAUCUGCCUACCAAGGUUGGCAACCUACAGGGGGCUCCAGGAGUAGGAAGAAGAGUGCAGUACCACACCCAGCUGCUAGGAGGCUCUCAAGAGGCAGACUUUUCCCACCAUACAGGAAUCAAGAAUCUAUUUCCCUGUUGGUACAUUUCAAAGCAAAAGAUGGUACCAUCCUAACUGAUGGGCAGGAACAACUUGACCGAUGGACGGAGCAUUACAAAGAAUCUACUCAAAAGAUGCCAUUAUCUGUGACACUCCUUAGCUGCCAUUCCCCAGCUUCCAACGAUGCAGGAGCUGGAUCAAACACUGACUAUCGAAGGUGUAGAGAAGGCUAUCAAAGAGAUUGCAUCUGGGAAAGCAGCAGGCAAUUAUCAGAUCCCUCCGGAGCUCCGAAAGGCAGGGGGGAGAAAGCUUGUGAGAGACAUCCACACACUUCUCUGCACCUGCUGGGAAGAAAGCCACAUACCCAGAUCUGAAAAAUGCAAACAUAAUUACUUCAUACAAAAAUAAAGGGGACAGAGCAGACUGCAACAACUACCCCGGGAUAUCUCUGCUCAGCAUGGUGGGCAAGGUGCUUGCAAGGGUCCUGCUGAAAAGACUCCAAGUCCUUGCUGAAAGAGUUUAUCCUGAGAGCCAGUGUGGGUUCAGAGCAGGACAGUCUAUGACUUGUCUGUGUCCUUCACAAUGUGCUUGUUCCAAGAAAAAAAAGCUCUGAACAACAGGCACCUUUCUAUGUAUUUGUUGACCUACAAAAGGCCUUUGACAUGAUUAGCAGGAAUGGCAUAUACAAGAUCCUGUUGCAAAUUGGCUGUCCACAAAAAGUGCUCGCCCUGUUUAAGGUGUUCCAUGAGGGAAUGAAGGCAACUAUCCAGUAUGAAAAUGAAACAUCGUCUGAGUUUAGUUUAAGGGUGUGUCCUAGUGUCUACUGACUUUGGCAUCUUCUUUAUUCUUCUUCAGUAUGCUUUUGGAAAUGACCAAUCUGACACACUAAUUGAAUUGAGGACGGACGGCAGCUUGUUCAACAUCAGACCAUUUCAGAGCAAAAGGCAUGUCACCCAGACACUAUUGGGAUCUGCUCUUUGCAGAUGACGCUGCAUUCAUCUCUAACUCAGCUGAUGAACUGCAAAUCAUGAUGAAUACGUUCGCUGUUUGCAGUGGUCAUCAGUAGCAAGAAAAAAGUUGUCACGUCAUAGGGCACCAACGUCCCACCUAAAAUCUAUGUCAGUAAUGAAACUCUGGACAACGUGGAUCACUUCUUGCUAUCUUGGCUCAGCUUUAACCAGCUCAGUGAACCUUGAUAGAGAACUUCAUGCAAGAAUCGGCAGAGCCUGUCACUUUUGGCAAACUUACCUCAAGCGUCUGGAACAACAAGCUGCUAACCCUGUACACAAAGGUGUCCAUUUAUCAGGCUUGUGUCCUCAAUACCUUUUACUCUACAUCCUGAGAGAGGCAGCCAACUGACAGCCAUCAGCUGUGUGUUGCAUUGCUGCCUGCUACUCUGACUGUGUGACACAGAGCAAAGCUUCAAGGUAGCAGAAAAUCACUGCCUGCACUUUUUGCAAAGCACUUUGGGGUAGAGAGAGUGUAUGGGGCACCACAUAAGACCAUAUCCUGUUUUAUAUUUUUCCAUCGUGAUGGGAUUACCAGCCUCUGCUAUGAAUCCCUGAAAAGCUGCUAAGUAUCAUUUAAGAUUUUUGGCACCCAAUCCAAUGAGGCAGUAGUUGUAUUUAUUUUUUCUGUGGGGUGCUUUUUUUUGUGUGUGCCUAUUUUCAGUUUUAGUUUUUAACCACCAGAUUAAUAGAAAAAAAUGUAGAGCAAUCAUUCAGUACCCAAGAGGGCUUGCAGUGCACUCAUUGUGACAGAAUUCUUGCCUAUUGAGGACAGUGUCAGGUUCCCUCAAAGGCAGUUUGGCAAAGAUCUCUUCAAUCUCUUCUUCAUGGACAACAAGGAAGUACAUUCAUAGAAUUCCCAGGCACCCCAGAUGAAAAGGGAGGGAAUUAAUACAGAAGUCCCUGCAGCACAGAUGACUUUAUUGAAAGCAGACAGAAUUGUUUCCACAUGGAUUUCAGAAAGGUAUCCUCCUCAGUUUAAAUCACUCCUCCAGCCCUCAAAAAAAAAAAAAA
Mauremys reevesii (Reeves's turtle) is the source of this 2264-nucleotide long non-coding RNA. RefSeq lists it as uncharacterized. Lineage: Eukaryota; Metazoa; Chordata; Testudines; Geoemydidae. The transcript is spliced from 3 exons. The record is from RefSeq and is a predicted model, not a curated record.